This 253-nucleotide ribosomal RNA is filed under the name uncultured bacterium. RNAcentral's name for it is "partial 16S ribosomal RNA". It matches the Rfam family "Bacterial small subunit ribosomal RNA", at positions 524 to 776 of the family's 1533-position model. The record is from RNAcentral.
UACGAAGGGGGCUAGCGUUGUUCGGAUUCACUGGGCGUAAAGGGUGCGUAGGUGGCUGGAAAAGUUUGAUGUGAAAGCUCAGGGCUUAACCCUGAAAUGGCAUUGAAUACUGUCGAGCUGGAGGUUUGGAGGGGGGACUGGAAUUCUUGGUGUAGCAGUGAAAUGCGUAGAUAUCUGGAGGAACACCGGUGGCGAAGGCGGCAUCCUGGACCGGCAUUGACGCUGAGGCGCGAAAGCCAGGGGAGCAAACGGG